RNAcentral lists this ribosomal RNA (495 nucleotides) under uncultured bacterium. RNAcentral's name for it is "bacterial SSU rRNA". It matches the Rfam family "Bacterial small subunit ribosomal RNA", at positions 899 to 1397 of the family's 1533-position model. The record is from RNAcentral.
ACUCAAAGGAAUAGACGGGGGCCCGCACAAGCAGUGGAGUAUGUGGUUUAAUUCGAAGCAACGCGAAGAACCUUACCUGGGCUUGACAUAUGGACGCAAGAUGUAGAGAUACAUCCUUCUUCGGACGUCCAAUACAGGUGGUGCAUGGUUGUCGUCAGCUCGUGUCGUGAGAUGUUGGGUUAAGUCCCGCAACGAGCGCAACCCCUAUUGUCAGUUGCUAACAUUAAGUUGAGAACUUUGGCAAGACUGCCGGUGACAAAUCGGAGGAAGGUGGGGACGACGUCAAAUCAUCAUGCCCCUUAUGUCCAGGGCUACACACGUACUACAAUGGCCGUUAACAACAGGAAGCGAAGCCGCGAGGUGGAGCAAAUCCCCAAAAACGGUCUCAGUUCGAAUUGCAGGCUGAAACUCGCCUGUAUGAAGUCGGAAUUGCUAGUAAUCGCGAAUCAGCAUGUCGCGGUGAAUACGUUCCCGGGCCUUGCACACACCGCCCGU